Hypanus sabinus (Atlantic stingray) is the source of this 903-nucleotide long non-coding RNA. RefSeq lists it as uncharacterized. Lineage: Eukaryota; Metazoa; Chordata; Chondrichthyes; Myliobatiformes; Dasyatidae. The transcript is spliced from 3 exons. The record is from RefSeq and is a predicted model, not a curated record.
CACAACUUCAAUCAUUGCUACAGACUGUACCCGGUGCUUAGAGAAAAUCAGAUUGGAGAAACGUUCUGGUGACCAUUUGGGAAUAUUUUGGAUAUCAGGAAACAGAAAUCUUAGCCAGUAAAUUCAAGAACCAUAAUUGAAACAACGAAAGACUGCACCCAACAAGUCAGACAAACAUCCAAGGUGUAAAAGACAACAAACUGUGCAAAUACAGAAGAAAGAAAAGCGAUAAUGAUAACGAAUCAAUAAGCAAUAAAUAUCAGGAUCAUGAAUUAACGAGUCCGUGAAUGUGAGUUCAUAGUUUGUGGGAACAACUCAGUGAUGGGGCAAGUGAAGUUGACUGAAGUUACUCCAUUGGUUCUGCUGAAGGCUUUCGGCCUGUAACAUUGACUGUACUUUUUCCCAUUGAUGCUGCCUGGCCUGCUGAGUUCCUGUAGCCCUUUGUCUGUGCCCCUGGUUCAAGAGCCAGAUGGAUGAGGGGAAAUAACUGUUCCUGAACCUGGUGGUGCAAGUCCUGUGGCUUCUUCUAACUUUUUCCUGAUGGCAGCAGCGAGAAGAGAGCAUGGCCUGGAUGGUGGGGGGAAUCUGAUUAUGGAUGCUGUUUCCCUGCGACAGUGCUCCGUGUAGAUGUGCUCAAGAUAUAUGAAGAAUAAAAGAGAGAUGAGUAUGGAUAUUGGACCAUUGGAAAAUGUUGCUGGAAAGGUAGUAAUGACAAGGCGGAUGAACCUAUAUACAUGUAAUGUUCAGUGAGUUUUCGGGAAACAUUUUGGUUUCAGUGGUGGGUGUCAUAUUACUCGAAUCUGGCCACCUUAUUGGUUAACUGUGAUUAAUAGAAUUUCUGUUACCUCUGCUCUGGCAUCAGACCGCACUGUUUUCUGCUUCUUCCUUUGUCUUUUCCUAUGC